This 30-nucleotide non-coding RNA is filed under the name Rattus norvegicus (Norway rat). Lineage: Eukaryota; Metazoa; Chordata; Mammalia; Rodentia; Muridae. The record is from RNAcentral.
UUCCUGAGAAAUUAAAAACUUCCGGUCUCA